RNAcentral lists this transfer RNA (50 nucleotides) under Oxyopes licenti. RNAcentral's name for it is "tRNA-Met". Lineage: Eukaryota; Metazoa; Arthropoda; Arachnida; Araneae; Oxyopidae. The record is from RNAcentral.
GUUAAUAUAAGCUAAUUAAGCUGAUGAGUUCAUAUCUCAUAUAUGAUUUA